This is a non-coding RNA of Oryctolagus cuniculus (rabbit), 530 nucleotides long. The record is from RefSeq and is a predicted model, not a curated record. NCBI's taxonomy places the organism in Eukaryota, Metazoa, Chordata, Mammalia, Lagomorpha, Leporidae.
CAAACCGGUGCCCACGGGGAAUGCCAGCACUGCAGGCAGUGGCUUCACCCGCUGCGCCAGAACCGGGCCCCGGCUUGGUUUGCUUCUUUGGUUUUUCAGAUGCCAAUGAUUUCAUUCACUCCCUCUCCUGUCCCAUUUUACAGUUUUAAACUGUUAAACCGGUAGCGCAGCCGUGUGCCCUGCACUCGCCCGCAGCUCCAGCGCUUUCCUAAGUGGUGUCCAGGUCAGCCUGGAAGUCCAGCGACAGCACGGGAUGAAGUGUCCGCCAAGAGCAGCGCGAUGCCACCGACCGCCGCGGCCUCCGGAGCGCUGAGACCCGACCCAGCCCUGCUGCGCAGCUCCCCGGGCCUCUCCAGGGAGCAGCUGGAGGAUUCUGUCAAGGAACCCAAGAAACAAUAGACUUCAGAUCCAUGUGCCGCCCCGUCCGGGGGACCGCCUGGGUUACCAGACCCGCAGCUGGCGAGGCGAGACCUUGGCAGCUCCCUCCCAAGGCAGGCCCGCGCCGUCUGAUUAAAAGUGUUGACAAGGAA